Molecule: ribosomal RNA, 508 nt
Filed under: uncultured bacterium
Lineage: Bacteria
Description: bacterial SSU rRNA
Rfam family: Bacterial small subunit ribosomal RNA
Source: RNAcentral
GACGAACGCUGGCGGCGUGGAUUAGGCAUGCAAGUCGGACGGUAGGGCUUUAUCGUAAGAUAGAGUUUGAGAGUGGCGAACGGGUGAGUAACACGUAGGAAUCUACCCUUAAGACGGGGACAACCCAGGGAAACUUGGGCUAAUACCGGAUGAGAGUGCGAGAGAUUGCAUUUAAAAGGAUGGCGAAAGUUGUCGCUUAGGGAUGAGCCUGCGGUCUAUUAGUUAGUUGGUGAGGUAAGAGCUCACCAAGGCGAUGAUAGAUAGGCGGCCUUAACGGGUGGUCGCCCACACUGGGAUUGAGAUACGGCCCAGACUCCUACGGGAGGCAGGCAGUCGAGAAUAGUCUACAAUGGCCGGAAGGCUGAUAGUGCGACGCCGCGUUGAACGAGGGAGCCCUUCGGGUGUAAAGUUCUUUUCUAUACGAGCAGUGCUAUAUAUAAUGGAUAGUAUAUAUAGAGGGAUAGUAGUAUAGGAAUAAGCAACGGCUAAACUCCGUGCCAGCAGCCGG